AGUGAGGAGGCUUUGUAGAGGAUGGAAUAAUAGAGAUCCAUCUGGUCACUAAUGUUCUUUAGUGACUUGAGUCGUAGCUUUUGAUUAUUUCAUCCUCUGCAAAGUCUCCUCACU
RNAcentral lists this microRNA precursor (114 nucleotides) under Fragaria vesca subsp. vesca. RNAcentral describes it as "Fragaria vesca miR11283 stem-loop (fve-MIR11283)". Lineage: Eukaryota; Viridiplantae; Streptophyta; Magnoliopsida; Rosales; Rosaceae. The record is from miRBase by way of RNAcentral.